RNAcentral lists this long non-coding RNA (3829 nucleotides) under Malus domestica (apple). RNAcentral describes it as "long non-coding RNA (MDOM_LNC006947)". The record is from RNAcentral. Lineage: Eukaryota; Viridiplantae; Streptophyta; Magnoliopsida; Rosales; Rosaceae.
UGGGGAGGCCGCACCUUUUACGCGGCAAAGUACAUUGGCGGCUAGCCAAUCAUCUACUUCAACCUUGAAGCGUGGCAAACCCCUUGGUUCAAAGGAUUCACAACCCCGGAAUAGGAAAAUGGCACCAACUAGCGACCCUAGUUUGAAUCCGACCAUCGCUCACUUAUCCGUUUCAACGCAUGAGGUUAUUCUAGAUUAUGGUGAUUAGGCCUGGCAAACGGGUCGCGUCAGUCGUGUUCGUGUAUUUUUCAUGUGACACCUGUUAUCUUAACGGGUCGUGUCGUGUCACACAUGUUAUCUUAACGGGUCCUUAACAGGUCGGGUCACUUAACCCAACGGGUAAAGUGACCCGACCCGUUAUUACCCGUUAAGAAAAAAAAAAAUUCUUAAAUUUGCACAUACCACACAUUGUCACAUAAAUAUUACUUCAAAACAUUAAAACACAUUUGUCGUUUAAGUACUACAUCUACACUCGAAAAUAAGAGCCUUAUAAAAAAUACAUCCAUACACUACUAAUCUAUUACAAAUAUUAAAUGUGCAAGGAUAUACAAAUUGAAAGCGUUUUUGUUUUCAAGGUUGUGAAGCCUUUCUCAAAAGUUUAAACCUUGCCAAUGGAACUCAAAGCUUAAUGAAAGUGACCCACUAGUGUGUUUAUUCGUACUUUCAUUAAGUAUAACAUAAGAUUUUGUGGUAUCUACUAGUGUAAAUAUUUUAAAUUGAAGAUCGAAUUCAUUCAUUGUAUUCAUAUAGGGUCAAGGAGUGUAGUUGUAAAAAAUCAUCAAAAUCGGAGUUAAAAUAACCAUUAAAUUGUGAUUUUUCAUUUAUAACCGUCAAAAAGUUUUGUCCUGUUACUUAAUCUUUAAAUAUUUUUUUUUUGCAAUUUUUGGCGUAUGCGAUCUCGAAGUAUAUACAAAAAAGUUUGACGGUUGGAUCGUUGAAACUAGUUUCGUAGAAUGCGUAUCCCAUCAAAACAAUAGAUUCACUAACACUUAAAAGUUUAUUCUUACUUUCAUUAAGUAUAACAUAAGAUUUUUGUGGUAUCCACUAGUGUAAAUAUUUUAAGUUGAAGAUCGAAUUCAUUCAUUGUAUUCAUAUAGGGUCAAGGAGUGUAGCUGUAAAAAAUCAUCAAAAUCGGAGUUAAAAUAACUGUUAAAUCGUGAUUUUUCGUUUAUAACCGUCGAAAAGUUUUGUCUCGUUACUUGAUCUCUGAAUGUUUGUUUUUUGCAAUUUUUGGCAUAUGCAAUCUCGAAGUAUAUACAAACAUGUUUGACGGUUGGAUCGUUGAAACUAGUUUCGUAGAAUGCAUAUCCCAUCAAAACAAUAGAUUCACUGACACUUAAGAUUUUAUUCAUACUUUCAUCAAGUAUAACAUAAGAUUUUGUAGUAUCCACUAGUGUAAAUAUUUUAAAUUGAAGAUCGAAUUCAUUCAUUGUAUUUCUAUAGGGUCAAGGAGUAUAGCUGUAAAAAAAUCAUCAAAAUCGGAGUUAAAAUAACCGUUAAAUCGUGAUUUUUUGUUUAUAACCGUCGAAAAGUUUUGUCCCGUUACUUGAUCUCUGAAUGUUUGUUUUUUUGCAAUUUUUGGCAUAUGCGAUCUCGAAGCAUAUACAAACAAGUUUGACGGUUGGAUUGUUGAAACUAGUUUUGCAAAAUGCGUAUCUCAUCAAAACAAUAUAUUCACUAACACUUAAGAGUUUAUUCAUAUUUUCAUUAAGUAUAACAUAAGAUUUUGUGGUAUCCACUAGUGUAAAUAUUUUAAAUUGAAGAUCGAAUUCAUUCAUUGUAUUCAUAUAAGGUCAAGGAGUGUAGCUGUAAAAAAGUUUCAAAAUCGGAGUUAAAAUAACAGUAAAAUCAUGAUUUUUCGUUUAUAACCGUCGAAAAGUUUUGUCCCGUUACUUGAUCUCUGAAUGUUUGUUUUUUGCAAUUUUUGGCAUAUGCGAUCUCGAAGUAUAUACAAACAUGUUUGACGGUUCGAUCGUUGAAACUAGUUUCAUAGAAGGCGUAUUCCAUCAAAACAAUAGAUUCACUAACACUUAAGAGUUUUUUCAUACUUUCAUCAAGUAUAACAUAAGAUUUUGUGGUAUCCACUACUGUAAAUAUUUUAAAUUGAAGAUUGAAUUCAUUCAUUGUAUUCAUAUAGGGUCAAGGAGUGUAGCUGUAAAAAAUCAUCAAAAUCGGAGUUAAAAUAACCAUUAAAUCGUGAUUUUUCGUUUAUAACCGUCGAAAAGUUUUGUCCUGUUACUUGAUCUAUGAAUGUUUGUUUUUUGCAAUUUUUGGCGUAUGCGAUCUCGAAGUAUUUACAAACAUGUUUGACGGUUGGAUCGUUGAAACUAGUUUCGUAGAAUGCAUAUCCCAUCAAAACAAUAGAUUCACUGACACUUAAGAUUUUAUUCAUACUUUCAUCAAGUAUAACAUAAGAUUUUGUAGUAUCCACUAGUGUAAAUAUUUUAAAUUGAAGAUCGAAUUCAUUCAUUGUAUUUCUAUAGGGUCAAGGAGUAUAGCUGUAAAAAAAUCAUCAAAAUCGGAGUUAAAAUAACCGUUAAAUCGUGAUUUUUUGUUUAUAACCGUCGAAAAGUUUUGUCCCGUUACUUGAUCUCUGAAUGUUUGUUUUUUGCAAUUUUUGGCAUAUGCGAUCUCGAAGUAUAUACAAACAUGUUUGACGGUUCGAUCGUUGAAACUAGUUUCACAAAAUGCGUAUCUCAUCAAAACAAUAGAUUCACUAACACUUAAGAAUUUAUUCAUACUUUCAUUAAGUAUAACAUAAGAUUUUGUGGUAUCCACUACUGUAAAUAUUUUAAAUUGAAGAUUGAAUUCAUUCAUUGUAUUCAUAUAGGGUCAAGGAGUGUAGAUGUAAAAAAUCAUCAAAAUCGGAGUUAAAAUAACCAUUAAAUCGUGAUUUUCGUUUAUAACCGUCGAAAAGUUUUGUCCUGUUACUUGAUCUAUGAAUGCUUGUUUUUUGCAAUUUUUGGCGUAUGCGAUCUCGAAGCAUAUACAAACAAGUUUGACGGUUGGAUCGUUGAAACUAGUUUCACAAAAUGCGUAUCUCAUCAAAACAAUAGAUUCACUAACACUUAAGAAUUUAUUCAUACUUUCAUUAAGUAUAACAUAAGAUUUUGUGGUAUCCACUAGUGUAAAUAUUUUAAAUUGAAGAUCGAAUUCAUUCAUUGUAUUCAUAUAGGGUCAAGGAGUGUAGUUGUAAAAAAUUAUCAAAAUUGGAGUUAAAAUAACCGUUAAAUCGUGAUUUUUCGUUUAUAACUGUCGAAAAGUUUUGUCUCGUUACUUGAUCUCUGAAUGUUUAUUUUUUGCAAUUUUUGGCGUAUGCGAUCUCGAAGUAUAUACAAACAUGUUUGACGGUUCGAUCGUUGAAACUAGUUUUGUAGAAUGCGUAUCCCAUCAAAACAAUAGAUUCACAAACACUUAAGAGUUUAUUCAUACUUUCAUCAAGUAUAACAUAAGAUUUUGUGGUAUCCCCUAGUGUAAAUAUUUUAAAUUGAAAAUCGAAUUCAUUCAUUGUAUUCAUAUAGGGUCAAGGAGUGUAGCUGUAAAAAAUCAUCAAAAUCGGAGUUAAAAUAAUCGUUAAAUCGAGAUUUUUCGUUUAUAACCGUCGGAAAGUUUUGUCUAGUUACUUGAUCUGUGAAUGUUUUUUUUUUGUAAUUUUUUGCUGAUGCGAUCUCGAAGCAUAUACAAACAAGUUUAACGGUUGGAUUGUUGAAAUUAGUUUCGUAUAAUUCGUAUCCCAUGAAGUUCAAUGGUGUGUGUGUGUAUAUAUAUUGUUGAUGCACAAAAUCAGCGAAGACUUUGGUACAACAGAAAGUGUCAGGUUUUAUGACCU